Molecule: long non-coding RNA, 5675 nt
Organism: Nerophis ophidion (straightnose pipefish)
Lineage: Eukaryota; Metazoa; Chordata; Actinopteri; Syngnathiformes; Syngnathidae
Exons: 10
Source: RefSeq, a predicted model, not a curated record
AACAUUGAUUGAUUGAUAGUUAAUCAGAUUAAUCACACUUUUGAAUUUGGAUUAAUCAUGAUUAAUCUCAGGUUAUCACGUGCUUGUAAUGGUACAACUUCUACAAUUCCCCAACAUUGUAGUGUGUCCAACAAUUGUGUUCUAUAUCCAUAAUCCCCUAGCACCGCGCUCUUGUAUCAAUCACAUUUUACGGACUAUAAGGCGCACUUAAAAUCCUUUCAUUUUCUCAAAAAUGCACCUUAUAACCCGGUGCGCCUAAUGUACGGAAUAAUUCUGGUUGGGCUUACCGACCUCGAAGCAAUUUUAUUCGGUACAUGGUGUGAUGAUAAGUGUGACCAGUAGAUGGCAGUCAAACAUAAUAUAUACAUGUAGACUGCAAUAUGAUGCCAGUAAACAACACCAAAACUUUAGAUGUUCCAUCGAAAAUAAAGAACAUUACACAUGGCACUCAAAAAUCCGUCAAAAUGUUUCAGUACAACUUUGCGCUCUUGUAUCAAUCACAUUUUACGGACUAUAAGGCGCACUUAAAAUCCUUUCAUUUUCUCAAGAAUGCACCUUAUAACCCGGUGCGCCUAAUGUACGGAAUAAUUCUGGUUGGGCUUACCGACCUCGAAGCAAUUUUAUUCGAUACAUGGUGUGAUGAUACGUGUGACCAGUAGAUGGCAGUCAAACAUAAGAUAUACGUGUAGACUGCAAUAUGAUGCCUGUAAACAACACCAAAACUUUAGAUGUUCCAUUGAAAAUAAAAAACAUUACACAUGGCACUCAAAAAUCCGUCAAAAUGUUUCAGUACAACUUUGAAGCCGCACUGCUUGAUGGAUUGUCGGCCCGUUACGGCUACUGUAGUCAGAGAUACAAGUACUACUAUGGUGUGUGAAUAAGGACCGCAAAAUGGCACCCAUAUUAUGCAUUUUGUUUCACAAUAUUAUGCAAAAGCAACUUUUCUUCCCUUCUGGUACCUGCUAAUGUGUAUUUGAGAUCUGCAUAAGUCCUGAAAAUUUGCGCACAUCCGUCACUGUAGUCCGUGCCGAUUACGUAGUCGAUAAGCUUCUUCUUUUUCUCCAUCUUCUUAUUAUGGGACAUUCAACCUCCGCUGUUGCCAUUUGUAAUAUAAAGUAGCAUACAGUUCUAACUUAUAUCUAGCUAUGGAAGUGCUAAAAACUACAGGUGUAGUGAGUUUACAUUAUUCAUCCAGGGAACUUUAGUUGAAUUAGAGCGUUCCGGUUGGACGUGCUUUCCACGGAACACAAUUCUGGGGUUGUUAUUGCACUAGUGAGCCACAGAUGAGGAGAUGCUGUUCCGUUAUUGAUUGAAGUGAAGUCUGAAUGUCGUUAAAACAGUUAGCGCCAUCUUUUGACACUCCUUCCACUCCCGUCCUUGCACGCUACACCGCUACAACAAAAAUGAUGAGGAGAAGACGCUGCCGAAUGUGAAUGUCGUUAAAACAGUUAGCGCCAUCUUUUGACACUUCUUCCACCCCCGUCCUUGCACGCUACACCGCUACAACAAAAAUGAUGGGGAAAAGACGCUGCCGAAUGUGAGCCACGUAAAUAAGACCGCCCACAAAACGGCGCAUCCUGAAGCGACUGUCAGAAAGCGACUCGAAGAUGUUCUGUAAAACAUAAUCUAUGCAACAUUUUGACCAAAGAAUCACAAAUACAUGUUAUGUAGACCACAAGGAAGUGUUUUACAUCUAGAAAAGAAAAACAUUUUUAAUUUGACUCCUUUAAUGCGCCCUAUAAUCCGGUGCGCCUUUUGUGUGGGAAAAACCCCUGACUAGACCCGCUCAUCACCAGUGCGCCUUAUGGUCCGGAAAAUAGGGCAUAUGUUUUAGUGUUAUUUAAACCUAACUUUGCAGUUAGCUUGGCUAUUAUCGUCGCAUGCUUGUUCCUGGCUUGAUCCUGGUGUGUCACAUGCUUGGCUACAUCCUCAUGAAAAUGAGUCUUAAGAUAAUGAAUUGAAUAACGUGGAUCCCGACUUAAACAAGUUGAAAAACUUAUUCGGGUGUUCCCAUUUAGUGGUCAAUUGUACGGAAUAUGUACUGUACUGUGCAAUCUGCUAAUAAAAGUUUCAAUCAAUCAAUCAAAAGAAAUGCAGGUGUUUUAUAUUAGUUUAGGGGAGCUUGUUAGCCAGUACUGUAAAAAAAAAAAAAAAAAUACAAUGUCAACCAGAGCGGAUCGGCCUUUGGCAUUAAUCGGAUUACGUACUUUUGUACUUAUCGGCGGUCGAUUGAUCGGCACAUCCGUAGGAUAAACAAAAUAUUGAAGUGUUAGUGUAAUAGUGUGAUGUUGUUGCGCUAUAUUAUGAACGAGACAGGGUUUUAUGUUUUAUUUUGAAGUAUUGGUUUUAUUUUGAAGAACCGGAUGUCCGGUACAGGAAGUGACUUUGGUGUCUUUUUCGGUUAUUUACUUCCUCUUCCUUCGGACUUUUUAAUGAGAAGGUAAUAGUUCUUCACUUCAUAGUGUAAAUAUUCUUCCUAAACGUUCCUAAUACUUUAAAAGUUAAAACAUUAAUGUUGUGGGUCUAAGUGAUGUGUUGUUUUAAGUAAUUGUUAUGCACGUUUUUGUUAAUUAAGGAGUACUGCGUCGACUGUUUGAAUUGUUUGGUCGUGUUUACACCACACAGGAGCGGAUAUCAGUCCGCCAGAAAGUAGAGACCUGUGUAUGUGUUCCGUGUUUCAAACACAGAUAUCAGUCCGCCAGAAAGUAGAGACCAGUGUAUGUGUUGCCAACACAGGUAUGUGAAUGUGUGCAUUAUUAAUAUUUUUUUGUGAUAAAACUAUUUUGUUAAUGUAAUUUAAAAUAUUAUUUUUGUAUUAAUGAAAGUUGUUUACUUCCUCUUCCUUCGGACUUUUUAAUGGGAAGGAGACGAUAUCAGUCCGCCAGAAAGUAGAGACCUGUGUAUGUGUUUUGUGUUUCGAACACAGGUAUGUGAAUUUAUGCAUUAUUAUUAUUUUUUUGUGAUAAAACGUUUUUUAUAACGUAAUUUAAAUUAUUAUUUUUAUAUGAAUGAAUGUUGUUUACUUCCUCUUCCCUCGGAAUUUUUAAUGGGAAAGAGCAGAUAUCAGUCCGCCAGAAAGUAGAGACCUGUGUAUGUGUUUCCAACACAGGUAUGUGGAUUUGUGAAUUAUUCAUAUUUUUUUUGUCAUAAAACGUUUUUGUUAAUGUAAUUUAAAUGAUAAUUUUUAUAUGAAUGAGUGUUGUUUACUUCCUCUUCCUUUGGACUUUUUAAUGAGAAGGAGCAUAUAUCAGUCUGUCAGAUAUUAGAGACCUGUGUAUGUGUUUCGUGUUUCCAACACAGGUAUGUGAAUUUGUGCAUUAUUAUUAUUUUUUUGUGAUAAAACGUUUUAAUGUAAUUUAAAUUAUUAUUUUUAUAUGAAUGAAUGUUUACUUCCUCUUCCCUCGGAAUUUCUAAUGGGAAGGAGCAGAUAUCAGUCUGCCAGAAAGUAGAGACCUGUGUAUGUGUUUCCAACACAGACUUUUUAAUGGGAAGGAGAAGAUAUCAGUCCGCCAGAAAGUAGAGACCUGUGUAUGUGUUUCAUGUUUCCAACACAGGAGCAGAUAUCAGUCCGCCAGAAAGUAGAGACCUGUGUAUGUGUUUCCAACACAGAUUUGAUAUCAGACAACAAAGAUGACCAUUUUUGGACAAAUAAGGAUUCACAACCUUUUUGCACCUGAAUAUACAGAGGAUGAACUGCUGCCUAACGAAAUUUUGGAACAGACGACGAAGACGACCAUUUUUGGACAACUGAGGAUUCACAGACAUAUCUUUUUGCACCUGAAUAUACAGAGGAUGAACUGUUGCCUAACGAAGCAAGCAUGAAGACGGGGCGAAACGUUGGGAGCAGACGGAAGUCAAGAGAGUGAGGUCGGCAUGACUUAACGGUUAAAAUGUGGGACUUGGAGCCAAGCUAUGCCGACAGAAAUGGUGCUCUUCCCCAAAAUCAAACGGAAAAACUCCCCCGGCCAACUUGACCAAGAGUAAAAUUCACCAUUGUACCCUUCAAAAACAACUUCAAAACCCCCCAUAAAGGUUUUAUGGACACUCUGCAAGUUUAUAUAUAAUGUAGUAACAGACACAUUCAUAACAAUAUGUAAUGAGUUCAAUAUUUACCGUGUAUUUGUCAUUUUAUGUCUUACUGGAACUUAUUUCCUCAGCACAUAUAUUUCUGUUCCCAUAGCAACGCACUUCCGACUUCUGGCAACAACUGUGUGUUCGUACUUUUAAAAACAAACGUGUGUUUGUGUGUUGUAAUCAUGGCAGAUUUGGCAAAAGACAACGAAGACAACCAUUUUUGGACAAAUAAGGAUUCACAACCUUAUCUUUUUGCGCCUGAAUAUACAGAGGAUGAACUGCUGCCUAAAGAAGUAAGCAUGAAGACGGGGCGAACCGUUGGGAGCAGACGGAAGCCAAGAGAGUGAGGUCGGCAUGACUUAACGGUGAAAAUGUGGGACUUGGAGCCAAGCUAUGCCGACAGAAAUGGUGCUCUUCCCCAAAAUUAAACGGAAAAACUCCCCCGGCCAACUUGACCAAGAGUAAAAUUCACCAUUGUACCCUUCAAAACCCCCCAUAAAGGUUUUAUGGACACUCUGCAAGUUUAUAUAUAAUGUAGUAACAGACACAUUCAUAACAAUAUGUAAUAAGUUCAAUAUUUACCGUGUAUUUGUCAUUUUAUGUCUUACUGGAACUUAUUUCCUCAGCAUAUUUAUUUCCGUUCCCAUAGCAACGCACUUCCGACUUCCGGCAACAACUGGGUGUUCGUACUUCCAGAAACAAACGUGUGUGUGUUGUAAUCAUGGCAGAUUUUGGAACAGACAACGAAGACGACCAUUUUUGGACAAAUGAGGAUUCACAGACAUAUCUUUUUGGGCCUGAAUAUACAGAGGAUGAACUGCUUCCUAAAGAAGUGAGCAUGAAGAUAGGUUGAAAGGUUGGGAGCAGACGGAAGUCAAGAGAGUGAGGUCGGCAUGACUUAAUGGUGAAAAUGUGGGACUUGGAGCCAAGCUAUGCCGACAGAAAUGGUGCUCUUCCCCAAAAUCAAACGGAAAAACUCCCCCGGCCAGCUUGACCAAGAGUAAAAUUCACCAUUGUACCCUUCAAAAACAACUUCAAAACCCCCCAUAAAGAUUUGGCAACAGACAACGAAGACGACCAUUUUUGGACAAAUGAGGAUUCACAGACAUAUCUUUUUGUGCCUGAAUAUACAGAGGAUGAACUGCUACCUAAAGAAGCGAGCACGGAGACAGGGUGAAAUGUUGGGAGCAGACGGAAGCCGAGAGAGUGAGGAAAAACUUCCCUGGCCAAUUUGACAAAGAGCCCACUGCUGCCCCUCGCCUCCCAGGGGGUGAUCAGGGGGAUGGGUGAAAUGCAGAAGACAAAUUUCACCACUGGAAUAAGCAGGGGCGUCCAUGAAAAAGACGGCGCUUGGAUGGCAGUAUUUGUUGUUCCAAAACCUGAAUGUACUUUUCAGCAUUAAUGGUGCCUUCACAGAUGUGGUGGAAGCAUGGGAGGAGGCAAGUGAGUCCGCAGCUGCCUCUUUGACAGGUGCAGGAGGAACGAUGCAAGCUCUCCGCUAAUGCCUACGCCCAGCCUCACCUAGACUCUGCGUCCAGUGGCCCCCAGGUAAAUUGAGUUUGAGACCCCUGCGCUUGAAUAAGAGCAGUCACUUCCCUAAG